AUGCACGCUGGCGGCGUGCCUCAUCCCUGCCAGUCGAGCGAACGGACGAGAAGCUUGCUUUUCUGAUGUUAGCGGCGGACGGGUGAGUAACACGUGGAUAACCUACCUAUAAGACUGGGAUAACUUCGGGAAACCGGAGCUAAUACCGGAUAAUAUUUUGAACCGCAUGGUUCAAAAGUGAAAGACGGUCUUGCUGUCACUUAUAGAUGGAUCCGCGCUGCAUUAGCUAGUUGGUAAGGUAACGGCUUACCAAGGCAACGAUGCAUAGCCGACCUGAGAGGGUGAUCGGCCACACUGGAACUGAGACACGGUCCAGACUCCUACGGGAGGCAGCAGUAGGGAAUCUUCCGCAAUGGGCGAAAGCCUGACGGAGCAACGCCGCGUGAGUGAUGAAGGUCUUCGGAUCGUAAAACUCUGUUAUUAGGGAAGAACAUAUGUGUAAGUAACUGUGCACAUCUUGACGGUACCUAAUCAGAAAGCCACGGCUAACUACGUG
RNAcentral lists this ribosomal RNA (496 nucleotides) under uncultured bacterium. RNAcentral's name for it is "partial 16S ribosomal RNA". It matches the Rfam family "Bacterial small subunit ribosomal RNA", at positions 29 to 507 of the family's 1533-position model. The record is from RNAcentral.